AGAAGAGGGAAGUGGUGAGGAUCUGCGCCGUCAGUGUCCGUCACGGUGUGGUGAGGACAGGAGCACGUCCCUCGAUCCUGCAUCCAAGUGCGUUGUGCUGCGAGUCCAGAAGCAGCACCAGCAGCAGCAGCAGCCUUAGCGACGACUCCACCACCAGUCACACGAAGGCAGGAAUUAUGGAGGAUCCGCACAACGAACACCACGAAGGGGAUGACAGCCGCAGGCGCGUGGCAACUGUGGCGGUGCUUCGCUGGAAACGAAACCGCUCGACGCAAUGACUCGGGCACCAAAGUGAACACCUAGGGAAUGGCAGGAGUCACAUUGAAGACACGGGACUUUGAGCUCGGUGUGCGUAGGUUGGUGAAUUUAGGCUGUAUAGGCUGCUUCCUGCCACCAACAGCAAAGAGUCUUCGCGGUUCCCUUCCAUCAAGUCUGCUGCUUACUACGUCGUUGUUUAAAAAAAACUCUAUAUAUAGAGGAUAUCUGCUGGAAGAAGACAGAGAGGAUGGCGAAGCGAACUGUGGAAGACUGUAGAAACGUUACUUGGAGAAAAAACAAUUCUCCUGGGAGUAAGGAGUUCGCCACAUACGCUCUUAGCAGCUUCAUACUUAUUUCAAAAAGGUGUUCGUGGUUGGAUGGAAUACGAUGAUGGUGAGGAGCGAAACUGAACUGCCGAGCCCGAAGUCUACAGGAUGAUGAAUGAUAGAUAUAUAGAGAAGAACGUGAAGCGGUUUCUUCUGUCGAAAGGGAGAGAAUUCAAAUUUUCUCAUUAUUAGAAGAACACAGUUUGUGUGACACGUGCGACGGCUCUUUGUUUGGCACCUCCAAACAGAGGAGUUAUAUACACUAUAUAUAUACUCUAUUUUAUUAUAUUUUAUAUACUAUAAUAACUCUAACCUUUCUUUAGUGGAUCUUGCU
Molecule: long non-coding RNA, 918 nt
Organism: Scylla paramamosain (green mud crab)
Lineage: Eukaryota; Metazoa; Arthropoda; Malacostraca; Decapoda; Portunidae
Exons: 5
Source: RefSeq, a predicted model, not a curated record